CGGGGCCCCCUACAAGUCUACUGGGCAAAGAUCGCGGAGCACCCUCUCGGUACCAGGCACGGUGCCCAGCCCUAGGGAUUCCAUAUGAGUAAGGAGAGAUACUGCCAGCACAGCGAGCAAACCAGGGAAGCUGAGCCUAGGAGCAGGGGACGUGUGAUUUGACGGCAGACAGCAGUAUGCACAGGCCUGGAGGGGCAGUUGGGUUGGAGCCCCAAGGGACAGCGGGGACAGCAGGGACUGAACCAAGGGUAUGGUCCAGAAGAGUGAAAACCGAAGUACCCACGGAAGAAGACCGAAGCCCUAACUGCUCCCUCCAGGCUCCAGUCCCGCGUCAGGGGCCAGUCCGGGUUUGGGGAGGACGCCCAGGCGCCCUCUCUUCCUAGUUCCCAAAGCCCCUCGAUGCAGUCAGCCGCCCUGAAAUACACAGAUUCCUGAGGAAGCUUACACACCCACGUCAUAGAGGCAUUCAACACAAGCAUACAAGGGCAACGAAUUUGAAUUCCAGAAUUUUCUCCAAAUAAAAUAAAGCUGUGGGAGGUGAUGCUCAGCCUCUAGACCCCGAGGUGGGGAGGAGGCACCAGAGAAGGAGUUUGUUGGAUACCCUACAGGGCUAAAGGGAACCCCUCCAGCCAGCCAUCCCGGAGAUGCCCGGCAGCCAGAGGCCUGGUUCCCCCAUUCUCUGAGCAAGGUGGGCACCCAGUGGAUUCCAUGGCCACAAAACGAGCCUGAGUGUGCUGGGGGUGGCCCAUGAACUGCGACGCAGAAACACCCGAGUUCUCCCAAUACAGGAGCCACCUGAGUCCGAUGCGUAGCCAGAAAGGCUUGAAACUCAGGAAUUUCGAGUCAUUUUUAGUAUAAUGUAUAUGUCCCUAAGUCACCCUCACAGUUCCUGGUCUCCCCUCAUGCAAAUGGCCCACCCCAUCAAUCACCUCCCUUUACU
Canis lupus familiaris (dog) is the source of this 940-nucleotide long non-coding RNA. RefSeq lists it as uncharacterized. NCBI's taxonomy places the organism in Eukaryota, Metazoa, Chordata, Mammalia, Carnivora, Canidae. The record is from RefSeq and is a predicted model, not a curated record. The transcript is spliced from 3 exons.